ACUUUAAGCGAGGAGGAGGCUACUUAGAUUAAUACUCUAGGAUAGUGGACGUUACUCGCAGAAUAAGCACCGGCUAACUCUGUGCCAGCAGCCGCGGUAAUACAGAGGGUGCGAGCGUUAAUCGGAUUUACUGGGCGUAAAGCGUGCGUAGGCGGCUUCUUAAGUCGGAUGUGAAAUCCCUGAGCUUAACUUAGGAAUUGCAUUCGAUACUGGGAAGCUAGAGUAUGGGAGAGGAUGGUAGAAUUCCAGGUGUAGCGGUGAAAUGCGUAGAGAUCUGGAGGAAUACCGAUGGCGAAGGCAGCCAUCUGGCCUAAUACUGACGCUGAGGUACGAAAGCAUGGGGAGCAAACAGGAUUAGAUACCCUGGUAGUCCAUGCCGUAAACGAUGUCUACUAGCCGUUGGGGCCUUUGAGGCUUUAGUGGCGC
Molecule: ribosomal RNA, 426 nt
Filed under: uncultured Acinetobacter sp.
Lineage: Bacteria; Pseudomonadati; Pseudomonadota; Gammaproteobacteria; Moraxellales; Moraxellaceae
Description: bacterial SSU rRNA
Rfam family: Bacterial small subunit ribosomal RNA
Source: RNAcentral